AGAGUUUGAUCCUGGCUCAGAUUGAACGCUGGCGGCAUGCCUUACACAUGCAAGUCGAACGGUAGCGGGCCUUCGGGUGCCGACGAGUGGCGAACGGGUGAGUAAUGUAUCGGAACGUACCAUUGAGUGGGGGAUAACGUAGCGAAAGUUACGCUAAUACCGCAUAUUCUCUCCGGAGGAAAGCAGGGGACCGCAAGGCCUUGCGCUCUUUGAGCGGCCGAUAUCAGAUUAGCUAGUUGGUGAGGUAAAGGCUCACCAAGGCGACGAUCUGUAGCGGGUCUGAGAGGAUGAUCCGCCACACUGGAACUGAGACACGGUCCAGACUCCUACGGGAGGCAGCAGUGGGGAAUUUUGGACAAUGGGGGCAACCCUGAUCCAGCCAUGCCGCGUGAGUGAAGAAGGCCUUCGGGUUGUAAAGCUCUUUCGGCCGGGAAGAAAUCGCAUGGGCUAAUACCCUGUGCGGAUGACGGUACCGGCAUAAGAAGCACCGGCUAACUACGUGCCAGCAGCCGCGGUAAUACGUAGGGUGCGAGCGUUAAUCGGAAUUACUGGGCGUAAAGCGUGCGCAGGCGGUUUUGUAAGACAGGCGUGAAAUCCCCGGGCUCAACCUGGGAACUGCGUUUGUGACUGCAAGGCUAGAGUACGGCAGAGGGGGGUGGAAUUCCACGUGUAGCAGUGAAAUGCGUAGAGAUGUGGAGGAACACCAAUGGCGAAGGCAGCCCCCUGGGUCGAUACUGACGCUCAUGCACGAAAGCGUGGGUAGCAAACAGGAUUAGAUACCCUGGUAGUCCACGCCCUAAACGAUGUCAACUAGGUGUUGGGUGGGUAAAACCAUUUAGUACCGGAGCUAACGCGUGAAGUUGACCGCCUGGGGAGUACGGCCGCAAGGUUAAAACUCAAAGGAAUUGACGG
RNAcentral lists this ribosomal RNA (912 nucleotides) under uncultured bacterium. RNAcentral's name for it is "bacterial SSU rRNA". It matches the Rfam family "Bacterial small subunit ribosomal RNA", at positions 8 to 916 of the family's 1533-position model. The record is from RNAcentral.